This 322-nucleotide long non-coding RNA is filed under the name Bos taurus (domestic cattle). Its description in RNAcentral is "long non-coding RNA NONBTAT023237". The record is from RNAcentral. Lineage: Eukaryota; Metazoa; Chordata; Mammalia; Artiodactyla; Bovidae.
CAAAGUGCGGAAGCCAGGCUGCACUCAGCCCGUGGCAAUGGUGGUCGAUGCCCUCUUUAAGGGUCCAGUGUUAAACCUCCUGUGAGGCUGUUAACUAGCCUGGAGUUUUGGGGCCCCAUGGUCAAGUAGCACUGAGGAGCGAGGCAGAACCGUGGUGUGGACCCAGCUCUCGGAGCUCCGGGUUUUGACUGAGAGGGGUGGACUUGCCCCACGUACAGAGUAGAGGCAAGGGGCCCGAGUGAUAAAGGAAUUAAGGGCUUGUUUGAGAUGAAGUACUGGGUGUGGGCUUGGGACGGUUAAAGGGCAGCAAAAUAAUUUCUCA